CCUACGGGUGGCUGCAGUAGGGAAUAUUGCUCAAUGGGGGAAACCCUGAAGCAGCAACGCCGCGUGAGUGAUGAAGGCCUUCGGGUCGUAAAGCUCUGUUGUACGGGAAAUGGUACCGUAUAAGAAAGGACCGGCUAACUUCGUGCCAGCAGCCGCGGUAAGACGGGGGGUCCUAGCGUUGUUCGGAAUCAUUGGGCGUAAAGCGUGUGCAGGUGGUUUGGUAAGUUGGAUGUGAAAGCCUUGGGCUUACCCCAAGAAGGGCAUUCAAAACUACCAAACUUGAGUAAGGAAGAGGGUCGUGGAAUUCCAGGUGUAGUGGUGAAAUACGUAGAUAUCUGGAGGAACACCGGUGGCGAAGGCGGCGACCUGGUCUAACUGACACUCAUACACGAAAGCGUGGGGAUCAAACAGGAUUAGAUACCCGAGUAGUC
This 431-nucleotide ribosomal RNA is filed under the name uncultured bacterium. RNAcentral's name for it is "partial 16S ribosomal RNA". It matches the Rfam family "Bacterial small subunit ribosomal RNA", at positions 338 to 795 of the family's 1533-position model. The record is from RNAcentral.